RNAcentral lists this long non-coding RNA (316 nucleotides) under Nicotiana benthamiana. RNAcentral's name for it is "long non-coding RNA (NBEN_LNC002563)". Lineage: Eukaryota; Viridiplantae; Streptophyta; Magnoliopsida; Solanales; Solanaceae. The record is from RNAcentral.
AAGUCUUCAGCUACUGAUGGAAGGGGCAAAGGAGGGGGCAGAGGAAGGGGAAAUGUUACACCUACUAGUGCAACUGUUGGAGAAAAUGGCAAUGGUACCCAAACAAGUGUAGUGACUGGAAGAAGUGGUAAUGGCAUCAAAACUAGUGCAACUACUAGAGCAAGGGGCAGAGGAAAGGCAAGUAGUACAAUAAUUAGACCUACCAGGGAUAUAUUCUCAGAUGUCAUUCCUUAAAUUGCUCCUAGAGGAAAGGGUACAAUACCAAGAGGAAGAGGAACUUUAACUUGUGUAAACAGGGAUCUUUAACUGGAUAUUC